This 253-nucleotide ribosomal RNA is filed under the name uncultured bacterium. RNAcentral's name for it is "partial 16S ribosomal RNA". It matches the Rfam family "Bacterial small subunit ribosomal RNA", at positions 524 to 776 of the family's 1533-position model. The record is from RNAcentral.
UACGGAGGGUGCAAGCAUUAAUCGGAUUUAUUGGGCGUAAAGGGCGCGUAGGCGGGUAGACAAGUCAGAUGUGAAAUUCCGAAGCUCAACUUCGGAGCUGCAUAUGAAACUGUCUAUCUAGAGGGAUGGCGGAGAAAAUGGAAUUCCACGUGUAGCGGUGAAAUGCGUAGAUAUGUGGAAGAACACCUGUGGCGAAAGCGGUUUUCUAGCUUAUACCUGACGCUGAGGCGCGAGAGCAAGGGGAGCAAACAGG